Long non-coding RNA from Drosophila novamexicana, 415 nucleotides. RefSeq lists it as uncharacterized. The record is from RefSeq and is a predicted model, not a curated record. The transcript is spliced from 3 exons. NCBI's taxonomy places the organism in Eukaryota, Metazoa, Arthropoda, Insecta, Diptera, Drosophilidae.
UGUAACAAUGAUAAUAUCAAAUGAGACAAAUGGAUAUAGAUAAGUUAAAAAGUAUAAUACCCCUUGUUGAGUUAAAUUAAAUAAGUUCAGGCAUGGAUUCUCAUAUAUGGAAAAGAGUCGUCAGAUAAGCUAUUUCCAAUGAAGUAGUCCUUAAAAGCUUCUCUCUUGCGCCAUAUAGUGGCAAUGAUUAAAGUUAAACAAGUUUAAGCAAAGGGCCAUCAGAUAUAUCAGCUUCAUAUCAAGUUAAAGUUUCUCUCUUAAGCCAAAAAGUGAACAAAUGCAGGCUCUGAAGAGUGUACCCUAUGAAGUGUGGCCCCUUUUGAAAUUUCAAUCCGUCAGUUGGCUCAUGAAAUUUGUAAUUUAAGAUGUUGCAAUUCAUGAGGACGUUAGCAGAUUCGUAAAUUGUGUAAAUUAC